Molecule: long non-coding RNA, 1196 nt
Filed under: Homo sapiens (human)
Lineage: Eukaryota; Metazoa; Chordata; Mammalia; Primates; Hominidae
Description: HSALNT0074610
Source: RNAcentral
GCUUGGAGGAAUCAAUAGGAGAAUUCACUCACAUAAACCAAAGGCCAGUAAAGAUUCCCAUGCAUUCCAAUGGACUCUUUUAGGUGGAUGCCAGUGAAUGGUGAGAGAUGAGAUUGGGAGAGGAGAGCAUUCUCAGCUACUGAGUCCACAGUGAAACUAAAGAGAAGCCAUCGCAAGGCCUGGAGAACUAUCUCUAGAAAUAUCUUGGCUGCACUGAUGAGAUUUUGGGCACGUAUUUCUUUAACUGUGAUAAAACAUGAAAUAACAAGAGAGAAUCAAAUUAGGAAGAACUCCAGCUAUCUCCAAGGUGUUUGUGAUCUGAAGCACUACUGGGGAGGUAAUUGUGGCUGAUGCACCACCACAAAAGAUUGAGAACGUCUCCCUCCUGCAAUAAUCAGACUAAUGUUUUCCUCAUUACCAUGUCUUCAUUUUUCCUGUCGACAGUACAAUGGCUGCAGAGGUCUCAUUACUGUUUUCCAUAUUUAUGUUUUAAAUUAUUGAUAGGCUGUAGUAGGGCUGAUAUGUGACUGAAAACCAGCAGUGUCAGGUAGUUAAGAAAUAUUUUUCAGAGAGCCAUUGGAACAUAACACAUGUGCAUCUGUCAAGAUUGGAAAGCAGAAAACAUACAUGAGACACAGUUGGGCUGUUCAAUUUGUUAACUACGUGGGGCAAGUCAACUGUCUCCUGAAUGCAAUAUGUAAGAAUGGCUAAAGUGAUAGGACUUGAACUCUUCCAAGCUCCGGGCUCUUCUUGCAUCUUGUUAUGAUAGCAAUUAUGGUCCAAACAACAUCAUAUGGCAAUGAUUUAAUUGGCUCAAGUACUGCUCCAAAGGUAAGUGUCACAGACUUUUUGGUCCUAUUCCCCACUUUUCCUGUUUGGAAGCAGAUUACUCAAAUAGCAGAAAUAAAAUGUCAUUUCUGUUGCCAUAUGGGAAACUUAAUGCUACAGUUAAAGAAAGACUCAUGUAGAAAAUUCUGUUUCUUAAACGUGGCAUGUAAAAUUCCAUUGCAGUAAAAAAGAAUGGCAUUUCAUAUGGUUGAAACAUUUACAAAUAAGGAGCAAAAAACCAAAACUCAUGACUCGGUCAGUCAUAAAACAUUUUCAAAACCUUGAUAUGUAAUAUUACUAUAGAUCUCAGGUUAAUCAGCACAUAGUGAACACUGAAUAAUAUUUUAGCAAUAUUAUAGAAUAUUAAA